CAACAGCUAACAGAAGCUCAGCCUAGAGAAAGAGGAAGUCCCAUAUUCCAAUCUGGAGAUUUAGUACGGGUACCUCUGGUACUGAUUACAGAAACAGAAGGCCGACUGGAAGAAGCAGGCCUGUGGGUCCUGAGGGUGCGUGCGUGGACGAGAUUCGUGUGGCUCCCCUGGACCCCCGGACAGUCACUGCUCUAGGAACGCUGAGCCCUCUCCUUGCCUUCAUACUGCAAACCCCAUCGAGAAUAUCAGGCAGUGCCGUGCAGAGCAAGCUGGCCACAAGGAGUCUUCCCCUCCAUGUGACAGUGCUUUUGCUUCGAAUGGUCCCCCGGCGCCCGUGGUGUCCAGCAGGAGAGAAG
Molecule: long non-coding RNA, 356 nt
Organism: Heterocephalus glaber (naked mole-rat)
Lineage: Eukaryota; Metazoa; Chordata; Mammalia; Rodentia; Bathyergidae
Source: RefSeq, a predicted model, not a curated record